Mauremys reevesii (Reeves's turtle) is the source of this 275-nucleotide long non-coding RNA. RefSeq lists it as uncharacterized. Lineage: Eukaryota; Metazoa; Chordata; Testudines; Geoemydidae. The transcript has 3 exons. The record is from RefSeq and is a predicted model, not a curated record.
GGCAGAGUGUCUUGGGGGAGAAAGGAGAAGAGAGGCAUCUCUCAGCAAUGGAGCCAGCAUCCCUGCAGCCUCACAACCAGCCCAGAACCCACAAUCUAGUUUUCAAGUGGGCCUGGAUUCUUUCCUGAAGAAACAGAAAUGAUUUGGGAGGUUUCAUCUGGAUAGUUGAGAGGUGCUUGGAAGUGGGUGUUUUUCCACCCGAAACCCAAGAUGACUGUGGUUCUAAUCACUUUGUGACAUCAGGACCACCAAGGAGAUGAAACCUCAUUAAUGGA